GAUGAACGCUGGCGGCGUGCCUAAUACAUGCAAGUCGAGCGAACGGACGAGAAGCUUGCUUCUCUGAUGUUAGCGGCGGACGGGUGAGUAACACGUGGAUAACCUACCUAUAAGACUGGGAUAACUUCGGGAAACCGGAGCUAAUACCGGAUAAUAUUUUGAACCGCAUGGUUCAAAAGUGAAAGACGGUCUUGCUGUCACUUAUAGAUGGAUCUGCGCUGCAUUAGCUAGUUGGUAAGGUAACGGCUUACCAAGGCAACGAUGCGUAGCCGACCGGAGAGAGUGAUCGCCCGCACUGGAACUGGGACACGGUCCAUGCGCCUGCGGGAGGCAGCAGUCUGGAAUGUUACGCAAUGGGCGGGAGCCUGGCGGAGCAACGCCGCGUGAGUGAUGAAAGUCCUCGGAUCGUGAAACUCUGUUAUUAGGGAAGAACAUCUGUGUACGGAGCUGUGCACAUCUUGACGGUAACUAAUCAGAAAGCCACGGCUAACUACGUG
RNAcentral lists this ribosomal RNA (497 nucleotides) under uncultured bacterium. RNAcentral's name for it is "partial 16S ribosomal RNA". It matches the Rfam family "Bacterial small subunit ribosomal RNA", at positions 28 to 507 of the family's 1533-position model. The record is from RNAcentral.